Molecule: long non-coding RNA, 209 nt
Organism: Lolium rigidum
Lineage: Eukaryota; Viridiplantae; Streptophyta; Magnoliopsida; Poales; Poaceae
Exons: 3
Source: RefSeq, a predicted model, not a curated record
AGCGGACAAACCGCUGACUGUAGAGGACAUCGUGCCCAUAGCCAUGGGGCAUGAGCGCGAGGAGCUGGAGGCAGAGCUCUAGAGGAAAAAGCGCUUUGACAUGGAUCCUCCCGUCGCCCUCUUUGGUACCAAGCGGCAGGUCGAUUCGCUCAGUGGUGUCCUUCGUCGGCUCGGCUGCGGCGGUGCGUGUGGCUUUGGGUGGCGUGGAG